This 375-nucleotide long non-coding RNA is filed under the name Phoenix dactylifera (date palm). Its description in RNAcentral is "long non-coding RNA (PDAC_LNC021538)". Lineage: Eukaryota; Viridiplantae; Streptophyta; Magnoliopsida; Arecales; Arecaceae. The record is from RNAcentral.
AAUUCAUAUUAUUAUUGUGUUGGUUUGGAUGUGUAGGGAUUCUUACUGGGCUGUAAAGCUCACCCCCCCUCUUCUUCUUUUUCUUUACCAGAGUUGCAGGAUGCAUAGAUGUGGAUGGGAUGGGCGUAGAGUGCGAGUACCAGAGUUAUUAGUUAGUUAGUUUGUUUAUCCUUCUUUGAUGUCGAUGAACAUUUGAAGAUCUUGUAAUUGAACUAAUUUGUUUAUUUGGAUAUGUCGGACUUGUCUAUUUGAAUUAUUAAAUUAAUCAUGGAUUUAUUGGAAUUUUGUUAAACAUAGGCCUUGCAUGAUCUUUAGGGCACUGCUCUAGGGCUCAUGCGGCUGGUCGCGUACCGGACCAGGGUGUUGGGUUCGGGG